This is a non-coding RNA of Manis javanica (Malayan pangolin), 551 nucleotides long. Lineage: Eukaryota; Metazoa; Chordata; Mammalia; Pholidota; Manidae. The record is from RefSeq and is a predicted model, not a curated record.
GAGGAGUGUGAUCAUGGUCUUGAGGUUCAUUGCCCGAGGCAUCUCAUGGGUCUUUGAAUCUGCUCUCGUAAAGCCAAGAGUCUCCUCACCUCCAGCUAUUUGCGUUCACCCCUGGCCCCUGCACACUGCUUGCAGCCCCCACCCCUGAGGGGCACAGCUGGCGCUCCAGACUCAAAUUGGAUCCUGUAUUUCUCCUGGACCAACCUGUCAGGGGCCCCCCUUAACAAGAAGACAGUCAAAACAGUGCCUCCAUCAUCCAGCCCGCCUGUGUCUCCCAGCAAGCCUGCCCACGCACAUGCUUCCCCGCUUUGAUGACCCAGACCUGGGCGCACACCUUCUCCUGGGGAGCCACUUCCUCCCGUCCUUCCCCCUUUCCCUGGUCUGCAGAGCUCUUGUUCUUCACAGGAGCGACCCAGAUCUGGCCUCACAAAGCCAUCCCCCAUCUGCUCUGGUGGUGGUCAGCUGCUCCUGUUCCUGAGCACCUGUGGAUAAGGUGAAAGUUCUCACCUGGCCCUGGUGGGCUGGCUCACUACACACAUGUGGGCAACACG